This 549-nucleotide long non-coding RNA is filed under the name Ananas comosus (pineapple). RNAcentral describes it as "long non-coding RNA (ACOM_LNC008985)". The record is from RNAcentral. Lineage: Eukaryota; Viridiplantae; Streptophyta; Magnoliopsida; Poales; Bromeliaceae.
CAAGCUUUGAAGGUAAGCUUCAAACCCUUUAAUGGCAUUUCUCUCUAGUUUGGUUUUUAAGCUCUAAGAGUGGAUUUAGAGGUAUUCUAGCAUGCUAAUUAGAGGUUUGAUGCUUGAAACCAAGGCUCUAAUGGUGGAUUUUUACCUAGUUGUAAUCUAGGGCUCGAAAAUGCUAAUUUGGUAAAUAUGAGGGUUUGAUCUCAUUUGACCCUCUGUAAACCUAAUUGCUAGGUAAACGAACGCGUUGGCGAAGACGGUUCGGCGAUUCGUCGAGCCGUUGCGAAGUUAUUAAAGAAACGGACGUUUAGGCUUCGUUUCCGCCUGGAGGGCCGAGGCGACAUCGUAAACCCAUGAAAACGGAUUUGAAGCAUCGUGGCACAUAACCGAAGACCUUUAAUUUUCGGAUCGUGAAUUGGAGGCCGUUCGGGUGGUCGCGUGAGAGAUCGGGCCAAACCGGGUGCCGGGUGCCGCGGGAGGCCGAUUGCAAGUGUCGACAAGCAAUCGGAAUGCGAAAUGAGGUGGGUUGUGCUUACCGAAGCGACUAGGUCG